GGCCCAAUAGUCAAGUGGUUAAGACGUAACAUUUUCACUGUUAAAUGCGCGGGUUCAAUCCCCGCUUGGGCUCA
Molecule: transfer RNA, 74 nt
Filed under: Pyrenophora seminiperda CCB06
Lineage: Eukaryota; Fungi; Ascomycota; Dothideomycetes; Pleosporales; Pleosporaceae
Description: tRNA-Glu (TTC) (tRNA-Glu-TTC-3-1)
Rfam family: tRNA
About the family: Transfer RNA (tRNA) molecules are approximately 80 nucleotides in length.
Source: RNAcentral